AGCAGUACUCGGGUGACAUACCCUGGAAUCAGGCUCCCUCCUCUCUGGUUCCGGGUGUGUCACCUGAGAACUGCA
Molecule: non-coding RNA, 75 nt
Organism: Myotis davidii
Lineage: Eukaryota; Metazoa; Chordata; Mammalia; Chiroptera; Vespertilionidae
Source: Rfam